GAUGAACGCUGGCGGCGUGCCUAAUACAUGCAAGUCGAGCGAACGGACGAGAAGCUUGCUUUUCUGAUGUUAGCGGCGGACGGGUGAGUAACACGUGGAUAACCUACCUACAAGACUGGGAUAACUUCGGGAAACCGGAGCUAAUACCGGAUAAUAUUUUGAACCGCAUGGUUCAAAAGUGAAAGACGGUCUUGCUGUCACUUAUAGAUGGAUCCGCGCUGCAUUAGCUAGUUGGUAAGGUAACGGCUUACCAAGGCAACGAUGCAUAGCCGACCUGAGAGGGUGAUCGGCCACACUGGAACUGAGACACGGUCCAGACUCCUACGGGAGGCAGCAGUAGGGAAUCUUCCGCAAUGGGCGAAAGCCUGACGGAGCAACGCCGCGUGAGUGAUGAAGGUCUUCGGAUCGUAAAACUCUGUUAUUAGGGAAGAACAUAUGUGUAAGUAACUGUGCACAUCUUGACGGUACCUAAUCAGAAAGCCACGGCUAACUACGUG
Molecule: ribosomal RNA, 497 nt
Filed under: uncultured bacterium
Lineage: Bacteria
Description: partial 16S ribosomal RNA
Rfam family: Bacterial small subunit ribosomal RNA
Source: RNAcentral